Molecule: ribosomal RNA, 253 nt
Filed under: uncultured bacterium
Lineage: Bacteria
Description: partial 16S ribosomal RNA
Rfam family: Bacterial small subunit ribosomal RNA
Source: RNAcentral
UACGUAGGGGGCAAGCGUUGUCCGGAUUUAUUGGGCGUAAAGAGCGUGUAGGCGGCCUGACAGGUCUGCUGUGAAAACUCGAGGCUCAACCUCGAGAUGUCGGCGGAAACCGUCUGGCUAGAGUCCGGAAGAGGAGAGUGGAAUUCCUGGUGUAGCGGUGAAAUGCGUAGAUAUCGUGAGGAACACCAGAGGCGAAGGCGGCUACCUGGACAAUUGCUGACGCUCAGGCACGAAAGCGUGGGGAGCAAAAGGG